Procambarus clarkii (red swamp crayfish) is the source of this 328-nucleotide non-coding RNA. The record is from RefSeq and is a predicted model, not a curated record. NCBI's taxonomy places the organism in Eukaryota, Metazoa, Arthropoda, Malacostraca, Decapoda, Cambaridae.
AGGCAUAAGGUAAGAGGACACGUGCACAGCCGUUUGUCCUGUGCGGGAACUGAACCAGAGACCCAGCCUUGUGCAACAGGUACUUAAUGAGGAGGACGAGGAGGGAGGCGGCGAAGAAGAAAAGGACGAACACUAUGUAGAGGACGGCCAGGGAAUCUUCGGACUUGGUCUGGCAAGAAACGAACAGUAAUCGACACCAGUACUCUCAAAGCCAACAUACCUGACAUGGGUCGUCCCCUAAACAUGCCAUGCGGAGCACCAAAGGGUCCAGAGGGUGGAGGAAAAGUCAUCAUGCCAGGUGGUGGGGAACGCCCUCUCAAGAUCAUUU